RNAcentral lists this ribosomal RNA (467 nucleotides) under uncultured bacterium. RNAcentral describes it as "partial 16S ribosomal RNA". It matches the Rfam family "Bacterial small subunit ribosomal RNA", at positions 28 to 507 of the family's 1533-position model. The record is from RNAcentral.
GACGAACGCUGGCGGCGUGCUUAACACAUGCAAGUCGAACGGAAAGGCCUCUUUCGGGGGGUACUCGAGUGGCGAACGGGUGAGUAACACGUGAGUAACCUGCCCUUGACUUUGGGAUAACUUCAGUAAACUGGGGCUAAUACCGGAUAGGAGCUCCUGCUGCAUGGUGGGGGUUGGAAAGUUUCGGCGGUUGGGGAUGGACUCGCAGCUUAUCAGCUUGUUGGUGGGGUAGUGGCUUACCAAGGCUUUGACGGGUAGCCGGCCUGAGAGGGUGACCGGCCACAUUGGGAAUGAGAUACGGCCCAGACUCCUACGGGAGGCAGCAGUGGGGAAUAUUGCACAAUGGGUGGAAGCCUGAUGCAGCAACGCCGUGUGCGGGAUGACGGCCUUCGGGUUGUAAACCGCUUUCGCUCAUGACGAAGCUUUGUGUGACGGUAGUGGGUAAAGAAGCACCGGCUAACUACGUG